ACGGCUCAGUAACACGUGGAUAAUCUACCCUUAAAUCUAAAAUAACCCCAAAAAACUAAAAAUAAUACCGGAUAGAUCAUAGAUGCUGGAAUGCCCUAUGGUCUAAAGCUCCGGCGCCUAAGGAUGAGUCUGCGGUCUAUCAGGUUGUAGUGGGUGUAACGUACCUACUAGCCGACGACGGAUACGGGUUGUGAGAGCAAGAGCCCGGAGAUGGAUUCUGAGACAUGAAUCCAGGCCCUACGGGGCGCAGCAGGCGCGAAAACUUUACAAUGCGGGAAACCGCGAUAAGGGGAUACUGAGUGCCAGCAUUUAUGUUGGCUGUCCACAUGUCUAAAUCGCAUGUGUUAGCAAGGGCCGGGCAAGACCGGUGCCAGCCGCCGCGGUAACACCGGCGGCCCGAGUGGUAACCACUAUUAUUGGGUCUAAAGGGUCCGUAGCCGGUUUGAUCAGUCUUCCGGGAAAUCUGACAGCUCAACUGUUAGGCUUCUGGGGGAUACUGUCAGACUUGGGACCGGGAGAGGUAAGAGGUACUACAGGGGUAGGAGUGAAAUCUUGUAAUCCCUGUGGGACCACCAGUGGCGAAGGCGUCUUACCAGAACGGGUCCGACGGUGAGGGACGAAAGCUGGGGGCACGAACCGGAUUAGGUACCCGGGUAGUCCCAGCCGUAAACGAUGCUCGCUAGGUGUCUGGGACGGUGCGACCGUUUCAGGUGCCGCAGGGAAGCCGUGAAGCGAGCCACCUGGGAAGUACGGCCGCAAGGCUGAAACUUAAAGGAAUUGGCGGGGGAG
This 789-nucleotide ribosomal RNA is filed under the name uncultured archaeon. Its description in RNAcentral is "bacterial SSU rRNA". It matches the Rfam family "Archaeal small subunit ribosomal RNA", at positions 85 to 876 of the family's 1478-position model. The record is from RNAcentral.